Molecule: ribosomal RNA, 405 nt
Filed under: uncultured bacterium
Lineage: Bacteria
Description: bacterial SSU rRNA
Rfam family: Bacterial small subunit ribosomal RNA
Source: RNAcentral
UUUUGGACAAUGGGCGAAAGCCUGAUCCAGCAAUGCCGCGUGCAGGAAGAAGGCCUUCGGGUUGUAAACUGCUUUUGUACGCCCCCGAAACGGUCUGCCCUAAUACGGCGGGCUAAUGACGGUACCGUAAGAAUAAGCACCGGCUAACUACGUGCCAGCAGCCGCGGUAAUACGUAGGGUGCGAGCGUUAAUCGGAAUUACUGGGCGUAAAGCGUGCGCAGGCGGUUAUGUAAGACAGUUGUGAAAUCCCCGGGCUCAACCUGGGAAUCGCCUCUGUGACUGCAUAGCUAGAGUACGGUAGAGGGGGAUGGAAUUCCGCGUGUAGCAGUGAAAUGCGUAGAUAUGCGGAGGAACACCGAUGGCGAAGGCAAUCCCCUGGACCUGUACUGACGCUCAUGCACGAAA